RNAcentral lists this transfer RNA (72 nucleotides) under Petrocephalus microphthalmus. RNAcentral's name for it is "tRNA-Asp". It matches the Rfam family "tRNA". Rfam says of the family: Transfer RNA (tRNA) molecules are approximately 80 nucleotides in length. Their secondary structure includes four short double-helical elements and three loops (D, anti-codon, and T loops). The record is from RNAcentral. Lineage: Eukaryota; Metazoa; Chordata; Actinopteri; Osteoglossiformes; Mormyridae.
AAGGUACUAGUAAAAUACCCAUUACACCAUCUUGUCAAGAUGUAAUUGUAGGUUAGACUCCUACGUACCUUA